GAAUGAUGGAAAUGCAGAGUGCUGUAACUUGGUAUGUCAUGUUUUUACUGCAUGCAUUUUAAACUCAUAUGUAAGUAUGAAACUGAGCCGUGUCUUUUGUUCCAGAACUCCAGUUAUUCUCUGAUCAAUUGCUUCACGUCAGAAAAUUACGAGCCAGAUAUUAAUGAGCCGUCAUUACUUGUUGAUAAUAUGCUGUACUUCACCAAGUCUGAGAAGGGAUUGUACAGGAUAAACAAGAACGACACAAUUGACAACAUUUGGCCUCAGACGAUUCAAGCGGAGCAAACAUACCUGAAGCUGAUCGCUGGUAAAGGACAACACAAAGACAAAGUUUAUUCCUUCUUCACAGAGAAGCACAAAAGUAAAGACGGUGAGCAGUGGAUUGCACGAGUCUCUCAGAGCUGCAUGGUGAGCAGAGUCUCCCCAGAAAUCAUGAAG
Molecule: long non-coding RNA, 438 nt
Organism: Sinocyclocheilus anshuiensis
Lineage: Eukaryota; Metazoa; Chordata; Actinopteri; Cypriniformes; Cyprinidae
Source: Ensembl